GACGUAGGGCGCGAGCGUUGUCCGGAUUUAUUGGGCGUAAAGAGCUCGUAGGCGGCUUGUCGCGUCGACUGUGAAAACCCGCGGCUCAACUGCGGGCCUGCAGCCGAUACGGGCAGGCUAGAGUUCGGUAGGGGAGACUGGAAUUCCUGGUGUAGCGGUGAAAUGCGCAGAUAUCAGGAGGAACACCGAUGGCGAAGGCAGGUCUCUGGGCCAUAACUGACGCUGAGAAGCGAAAGCAUGGGGAGCGAACAGG
Molecule: ribosomal RNA, 253 nt
Filed under: uncultured bacterium
Lineage: Bacteria
Description: partial 16S ribosomal RNA
Rfam family: Bacterial small subunit ribosomal RNA
Source: RNAcentral